CCCGCCACUGUUCUUGUCUGUAAAAGUGACUACGUAUAGUCCAGUGGAGGCUGAUAUUGACCCAGCUCUAGGAAGCAGGGCUGCUCAGUUAAGUGGGUAACUCUGUGCCAAAAGGCCUGGAACAUGU
Small nucleolar RNA from Myxocyprinus asiaticus (Chinese sucker), 127 nucleotides. RefSeq annotates it as small nucleolar RNA SNORA65. The transcript has a single exon. Lineage: Eukaryota; Metazoa; Chordata; Actinopteri; Cypriniformes; Catostomidae. The record is from RefSeq and is a predicted model, not a curated record.